Molecule: RNA transcript, 1835 nt
Organism: Cornus florida
Lineage: Eukaryota; Viridiplantae; Streptophyta; Magnoliopsida; Cornales; Cornaceae
Exons: 8
Source: RefSeq, a predicted model, not a curated record
CCGAAAAAAAAAAUAAAGAACUAGGGAUUCAGAGUUCUUUUUCGUCCCAAAACAAGCUUUAACGAGUGUGGAAAGAGAGAGACCCGAAUCUUUCAUCUAUCGAUUUCAACCGUGUUGAUGGCAGUAAUUUGAGGAAAGAAAGCUUGAUUUCUUAAACUCGUCUUUCUCAGAUUGGGCUCCCGACGGUGUCGAUCAUUCCGUAACCGACCAGCGAAGUGGUUAGGGUUUUCAACUAGCGACCAAAAUUGAAGUUGAAGAGAGCCACCAUGGACGACGUCUCUCUCUCCAUCUAGGCUCUUUACAGUUACUCCGAGGAAGAAAAGAAGUAGCCUUGGUGGGUGUUGUCGUAUUUAUUGGCCUGAACUAGCUUUUCUUACAAGAAGGGAGAACCAACCCCUUCAUUAAGUGCUAGGUCAUUCUCAUUAGAAGAGCAAAGGAGUAAGAAUUGAAGAGGGAAAAAGAUAGAUAAAUUUCAGCAUGCAUGGUCCCGCAGAAUCCUCUAAAGUGGGCGCAAAAAGAGGACUAAGAGAGAGGAAUUGUAUUGUGGCUGCAUUAAGGACUUCGGGAAAUGAGGGAAUUACUAUAUCAGAUUGAGAUUCAAACUCUCCCCAUACACAGUUAGGUGGACAAUCUUGAGGUUCUAGCGGGGUUCCAAUCGAUCAUGAUAGUGGAAGCACCUCGGCAAAUGAUGCUUCAAUAACUCCCUCUACUCACAAGGGUCAUCGUAAGGGUAGAGGUCCAUCAAUAUUAGCAAAUGCAGUAGUAAACGAUAACGAGUCACCACUUCCGAUUGAAUUCAAUGAAAGAGGGCAACCAAUUGGUGAGAAUAGUAAAACAAUUUCUACUGGCAUCGGAAUAAUAGCAUGAGAGAAUGUUCUAAUUAGCUCAAAAAAGUGGAAAGAGGCUUCAGCUGAGAAAGAACGACUCAUAUGGACAUCUAUAAAGCAAAAAUUUGAAGUCCCUGAUUUUCAUAAAAAGGAUGCUUUUAGAAGAAUGGGAAAGAGUUGGGGUGAUUAUAGAACACGCCUUACAACCGAUAUAUAUAAGUCAAAUGUAGAUACAGAGGCUAUUGAUUCAUUAAAGCCUGACAGUGUACAAUCAAUCGAAGAGUGGCAACAGUUUGUGACUAAUCGACUUUCUGAUGACUACAAAAGAAAAAAAAGUGAUGCACCUGACUUUAUAACAAGAGUUGAUGUAUGGAUCGAAGGUCACAUGAGGAAGGGUGGGAAACCUUUGAACGAUGUGACAGAAGAAGCAGUGAAACAAAUGAAAGAGUACACCAAAACCCAACCCAAAGGCACAAGCUCUCUUCGAGAUGAUGGAGUCACUCAUGUACUUGGUCCGGAACGUAAAGGCCGAGUUAGAGGCCUUGGUUUUGGAGCAACAAUCUCCAAAAUUGAGGCAAAUGGUUUUCAAAGGGUGCAAGCAAAAAGAGUAGAAGAAAUAGUUAAAGAAAGGGUAGAACAAAUCAAACAUGAAAUGAAAAUGAAAUAAUGAAUGAGAUGAAAGCCUUGUUGUCCCAAAAUGCUAGCACUGGUUCUUAGUCUAAUGCUAUACCAAGUCCUAUUAUAGAAGAUCUACAAGGUUUAAAAUGUGAGUUGUUACACUGGAAUGGGUCAGGUGUAGUUGUUGCCGAGGCUGAGAUUGCAGCAACGGAUCCCAAUGCAUUAGAAGAUCAUUUUCCAAUUGGUCCAGAUUAUUGGAAAGUAUGGAUUGAUGAUAUCUUGGUCGAAGACUGUCCUUUGUAUUGAGCAAGCUUAAAUGGAAAUUUUUAUCUUCGUGAUGUUAACAUAAGCUCGGUUGUAUGGCCUAAGAAAUAUGUGAAAAUUAUACAG